AGAUUGAACGCUGGCGGCAUGCUUUACACAUGCAAGUCGAACGGUAACAGGCCGCAAGGUGCUGACGAGUGGCGAACGGGUGAGUAAUGUAUCGGAACGUGCCCAGUCGUGGGGGAUAACGCAGCGAAAGCUGCGCUAAUACCGCAUACGAUCUAUGGAUGAAAGCGGGGGACCGUAAGGCCUCGCGCGAUUGGAGCGGCCGAUAUCAGAUUUAGGUAGUUGGUGGGGUAAAGGCUCACCAAGCCAACGAUCUGUAGCUGGUCUGAGAGGACGACCAGCCACACUGGGACUGAGACACGGCCCAGACUCCUACGGGAGCAGCAGUGGGGAAUUUGGACAAGUGGGCGCAAGCCUGGAU
This 358-nucleotide ribosomal RNA is filed under the name uncultured soil bacterium. Its description in RNAcentral is "bacterial SSU rRNA". It matches the Rfam family "Bacterial small subunit ribosomal RNA", at positions 26 to 388 of the family's 1533-position model. The record is from RNAcentral.